Molecule: ribosomal RNA, 483 nt
Filed under: Triticum aestivum (bread wheat)
Lineage: Eukaryota; Viridiplantae; Streptophyta; Magnoliopsida; Poales; Poaceae
Description: partial small subunit ribosomal RNA
Source: RNAcentral
AUGCAACCGCGCAAGCACAAGAACAAGGUUAAUCCAACCAAGAGGAAGGAUGUCCCCAAGACACCUUGGUUCCUAACUGCGUCUGGGCAAUCUAUUCACCAUCAACUUGAAGCUGCUGCAAGUGGUACUGCUACUCCAACAAAUACGACCAACUCGUCUUCCACAUUUGACGAUUCAAGUGAGUGCUGCCAUCUAUCCCCUGAGGUUAUCCGAUUCUUGACCACAGACUUGGUAUCGGAACACAUCAAGGCUGAAGCAAAAAUGUAUGUUAUGCCAACUAAGAACAAGCAGAGUGUUUCAUAUACAGAUGAUCCUUAUGUGUCUCGGUUAAGGAAUAUAAAUGAAACCAUUGAAACUAAUCAGAGAACCAAUGUCGAAGAUAAAGAUGUCAGUGCACCGCAGCAGUAUCAACCGUCUUCUUCGCGCAAAGAAUAUGAUAGCAUUAUAAUAUUAUCUUCAGAUGAGGAAGAUCCUAAUGCUUAG